This 232-nucleotide ribosomal RNA is filed under the name uncultured bacterium. Its description in RNAcentral is "partial 16S ribosomal RNA". It matches the Rfam family "Bacterial small subunit ribosomal RNA", at positions 524 to 751 of the family's 1533-position model. The record is from RNAcentral.
UACAGAGGUCUCAAGCGUUUGUUCGGAUUCAUUGGGCGUAAAGGGUGCGUAGGCGGCGCGGUAAGUCGGGUGUGAAAUCUCGGAGCUUAACUCCGAAACUGCAUUCGAUACUGCCGUGCUUGAGGACUGGAGAGGAGACUGGAAUUUACGGUGUAGCGGUGAAAUUCGUAGAUAAUUCGGAAGAACACCAAUGGCGAAGGCAGCAGCUCUGGGACGUGAGCUGACGCUGAAG